UGGGUUAGCUAGGUUUCUUCUCUACGUAUUUGGGUUUCUCCUCUCUCCUUAGGAAUCAACUAAGUUCGAUAUGGUCUUGGUUGAGAACAAAGGAACCCAAGAAAUCGACACAUGACUAAGAAUGAUAUGGAUGUACGGUGAGUUUUCUUCAUUUUGUUAAUAGUGGUGGCAUAGUGGUGGCCUCUCCUUCAACUUCUGCUUUGUUAUUGCUCAAUUAGAGGUUUUAAUUUCCUCCUUUGUUAAUUU
This 246-nucleotide long non-coding RNA is filed under the name Panax ginseng (ginseng). Its description in RNAcentral is "long non-coding RNA (PGIN_LNC014987)". Lineage: Eukaryota; Viridiplantae; Streptophyta; Magnoliopsida; Apiales; Araliaceae. The record is from RNAcentral.